GACGAACCGUGCGAACGUUAUUCGGAAUCAUUGGGCUUAAAGGGCGCGUAGGCGGCGUCGUAAGUCGGGCGUGAAAUCCCAUCGGCUCAACCGUGGAAUUGCACUCGAUACUGCGACGCUCGAGGGAGGUAGGGGCAUGUGGAACUUCCAGUGGAGCGGUGAAAUGUGUUGAGAUUGGAAGGAACGCCGGUGGCGAAAGCGACAUGCUGGAUCUCUUCUGACGCUGAGGCGCGAAAGCUAGGGUAGCGAACGGG
This 254-nucleotide ribosomal RNA is filed under the name uncultured bacterium. RNAcentral's name for it is "partial 16S ribosomal RNA". It matches the Rfam family "Bacterial small subunit ribosomal RNA", at positions 524 to 776 of the family's 1533-position model. The record is from RNAcentral.